Molecule: ribosomal RNA, 497 nt
Filed under: uncultured bacterium
Lineage: Bacteria
Description: partial 16S ribosomal RNA
Rfam family: Bacterial small subunit ribosomal RNA
Source: RNAcentral
GAUGAACGCUGGCGGCGUGCCUAAUACAUGCAAGUCGAGCGAACAGAUGAGGAGCUUGCUCCUCUGACGUUAGCGGCGGACGGGUGAGUAACACGUGGAUAACCUACCUAUAAGACUGGGAUAACUUCGGGAAACCGGAGCUAAUACCGGAUAAUAUAUUGAACCGCAUGGUUCAAUAGUGAAAGACGGUUUUGCUGUCACUUAUAGAUGGAUCCGCGCCGCAUUAGCUAGUUGGUAAGGUAACGGCUUACCAAGGCAACGAUGCGUAGCCGACCUGAGAGGGUGAUCGGCCACACUGGAGCUGAGACACGGUCCAGACUCCUACGGGAGGCAGCAGUAGGGAAUCCUCCGCAAUGGGCGAAAGCCUGACGGAGCAACGCCGCGUGAGUGAUGAAGGUCUUCGGAUCGUAAAACUCUGUUAUUAGGGAAGAACAAAUGUGUAAGUAACUAUGCACGUCUUGACGGUACCUAAUCAGAAAGCCACGGCUAACUACGUG